Molecule: long non-coding RNA, 1022 nt
Filed under: Helianthus annuus (common sunflower)
Lineage: Eukaryota; Viridiplantae; Streptophyta; Magnoliopsida; Asterales; Asteraceae
Description: sRNA HanXRQr2_Chr01g0039651
Source: RNAcentral
AAAGUAGAGAGGUAGAGAGAACUGAGCGACUGUGAUUGAGGAACCGGCGCCAACCGCCGUUGAGGAAGCGGGAACUGUUGUUACGACGUCACCAACUGCCUCCGACUGAACCAGAGUCUGUGAUGACGACGGCGAGUUCUAGAGUCCCGAUCUCUCAAUUGGUCGCCGGUUGUGGCUUCUCGAUGGUGGUCGGCCGGUUAACGGGGAUAUCCGACAAUACCCACAAAAAACCACCGCUGGUGCUUUGACAUAGACAAUAAAUAAGGAGCGACAGAACACGUUGGUGAGCACUCCGGCAGUUCUUUCACUCCGGCGAUGGCGGUUUGGACCUGAACCAGGGACCGCUUGUCCUUGCACUGCCACUGCUUCCUCCUCCCUCUCCACCACACCACCGACUUCACUCCGGCGAUGGGCGGUUUGGAAUUGAAUCAGCGAGGUCGUCUCCUUCUUCCACUGCCGCUGCUUCCUCCUCCUUCUCCAGUGACAAUAGCAAAUGAUACCGCCGCAACUCGCAUUUCAGCAGCAUGAAUGAUAGAAUCUGCCUCAAAUGCUAGAUGGUAAUAUCACAGUCCAGUCUAUUCAGAUGUAGAGGCAAAGAUGAGGCGUUUUUUGGUUGAUUUGGAGUCCAAAUGUGCAUCACUAUGAAAAACAAACUUUUUUAUGAUUGGAUAUACUGAUCAGUAUGACUACUACAAAGCUAUUCGUUGCACUAUAUAUACUUUUAUGCUUUUUAGUUCAGGUUUGUGUGUACAAAGACUGGACAAGUGAUAAUCGAUACCACAACUGGAAUACUGGGAAAUGGUAGCGCUUUUUCAUGUUCAAAAGGGAUUACUUCUUGAACACAAACCCGAAGAAGCAGCCGCAAUAAUUCAGUUAGAUUAUAGUGGGAUUCAUUUUGUAUAACUUCGUUUUGUACAUCCUUGACAUAUAGGCUAGGCGAUGCGACUAUGGAAUGUUGAUGUAACAAACACUUGGUUUAUCGAGUAUGAUACAUAUGAAUGAAUCCCCGCCGCAUCGCAGCG